GGCCAGACUCCUACGGGAGGCAGCAGUGGGGGAUAUUGCACAAUGGGGGAAACCCUGAUGCAGCGACGCCGCGUGGGCGAAGAAGUAUUUCGGCAUGUAAAGCCCUAUCAGCAGGGAAGAAGAAAUGACGGUACCUGACUAAGAAGCCCCGGCUAACUACGUGCCAGCAGCCGCGGUAAUACGUAGGGGGCAAGCGUUAUCCGGAUUCACUGGGUGUAAAGGGAGCGUAGACGGCGACGCAAGUCUGGAGUGAAAGCCCGGGGCUCAACCCCGGGACUGCAUUUGGAACUGUGCUGCUAGAGUGUCGGAGAGGCAGGCGGAAUUCCUAGUGUAGCGGUGAAAUGCGUAGAUAUUAGGAGGAACACCAGUGGCGAAGGCGGCCUGCUGGACGAUGACUGACGUUGAGGCUCGAAAGCGUGGGGAGCAAACAGGAUUAGAUACCCGAGUA
Molecule: ribosomal RNA, 448 nt
Filed under: uncultured bacterium
Lineage: Bacteria
Description: bacterial SSU rRNA
Rfam family: Bacterial small subunit ribosomal RNA
Source: RNAcentral